This 1006-nucleotide long non-coding RNA is filed under the name Coturnix japonica (Japanese quail). RNAcentral's name for it is "lncRNA (ENSCJPG00005010456.1)". The record is from RNAcentral. Lineage: Eukaryota; Metazoa; Chordata; Aves; Galliformes; Phasianidae.
GGUGUAAGAAGCAACAAGCCCAAAUAUCAAUAAAAUUUCUAACUAAUAUCAGAGAAACGUACCCUGAGAGUAGUUAAGAACUGAGAUAGAUUUCCAGACAGCUUGCAGGAUCUCCAGCUAUAGGGAUAUUCAAAGUUUGACCAGAUAAGGUUCUGAGCAACAUGCACAGCAUGUUUGAGCAGGACAGGUAGACUUCUGCAAUAGUGGGGGUAAAUGUCGUGGUUGAAAGUUGUGUUGUUGUGUUGUAUGAGAAUGAAACAGAGCUGUAGACUAUCCGAGAGAUGUAAGUGACUUGCCUAUGAACUGGCCAAGCAACAAGUAUCAUAGGAUCAUAGAAUUGAUAAGGUUGAAAAAGACCGCUAGUUCAACUAUUAACCAUUAAGUUGUGUCUGCUCCACUCAUUCUGUUUUUCCAUGAAAAACUUAGCUUCUUCUUUCUUUUCUUCUCUUUUCAGACAGAAUUUAUCCAGCAGUUCUGAGAACAAGGAAACCAUUUCAUUACCUGCCCCACUCAACACAGGGGAGCUCUGUUUUUCCAACUCUGUGUGCUAUUGAUUUGGUGUAUGGAUGCACUAGUGAAAGGGAGCUGACAGCUUUACUUUCUAUACCCUGAUGCUUGCUUCCAAAGGCUCAUCUGAACUUCCCUCAGUAUCCAGAAUGACUUAGCUAAAAUGAUAACAAAGACAGACAUGCAGGCAUCUGCAGUCUGAUACAGCUCUGGCUGUGCCAGCCCAAAACCACAUUGCUGUCUUAGACAUGAAAUGGAUUACGGGCACGUUGUGUGCUUUACAUCUUUUUUUUUCAGGUAAGCUCCAGUUUGUACAAACUGUUCCAUUUUCUGUUAUACAAAAGCGCCCCUAACUUUGCUCAGCUCUGGCUCCGGCAUUUCUCUAUUUUAAUAGAACAUUUGGAACGGCAGAGGGAGUGCAAGAGCAAGGAAAAAGAAGUGAACACACUGAAUGUAAGAAGUUUGGUCCCCCAGGUGAAUAAAACAACUGCACGGAACA